GAGAGAAGAGUAAGCGAAAUCCGUCCUCCAGGACCUACUCCCCCGGCCAGCUCCGAGAGUAAAUGUCUCCUUUUUGAGCUGAAACGGACUGCUCUGUGGCUCCCACUCUUUGUUACUUUGCCGUCUGAAGCACCUCGGAAUUUAGCCAGUUCCAUUUUUCCCCUUGGAUGAGAAGAAAUCCCCGCACAGAACCUUCUGAGAUGAGGUCCAGGGUGAGUAUUCCAGGUCAACCAUCCCGUUAUGUGGACGCCCCGGUCCUGGGGUCCCGUCAUGAAGACGACUGUGGUCUCCCAGACCCAUCAAACAGGAGUCUCGUUUGAAUCGCAUGAGAGGACAAAGACCCUGCUGGGACAAGUCCUAGUCUAGUCGGCUGGCUCCCAGGGCACCGCGUGCAGGGGCCUCGCGCCCAGCCCUUCAGACCAGGGUUCCGGGUGCAAAACAGCCGCGCCAACAGCUCAGCUCAGGGCGCUACACAGAAGGUCCGGCCCGCCGCACUCAGUUCAAGAUGGCGGGCGAGCCGUGUGCAGAGACGCUGCGCCUGGCGCCGAGAUCAGGGGGCGUGAGCAGCAGCUGCGCCUGGCUGCUGGCGAGAACCCCACCCCCUCCCCACUAAAGCAGCCCCAAUCGGGCCUGUUGGGAGAGCGUGCUCUGGAGCAUGAGGUCCCACCUCCCCAUUCUUUGAUCAAAGAAUAAAGCUUUCCUUUGCU
This is a long non-coding RNA of Balaenoptera acutorostrata (minke whale), 707 nucleotides long. RefSeq lists it as uncharacterized. The transcript is spliced from 3 exons. The record is from RefSeq and is a predicted model, not a curated record. Lineage: Eukaryota; Metazoa; Chordata; Mammalia; Artiodactyla; Balaenopteridae.